GUCUUGUGAUAUAAAUAAGAAGCGACAGUUUUCAUAUUACCAGUCUUACUUUGACCCUAGGAGAGUAAUUAAAUAAUUAUUUCUUUAUUUUUGUUCCAAAAAUGAAAGGUUUUUUGUUUAUAUUUGCUGUUAUGAUGGCUUUAUUUUCUUUGACUUCAGCAAUGCUUGUCGAGCCUAAAGAUGCUGUCCUGGAAAGGGCAAAGCGCGAAGAUUGUGACUACCGUGAAUGUGACCGAUUUUGCAGAAGAA
Molecule: long non-coding RNA, 249 nt
Organism: Maniola jurtina (meadow brown)
Lineage: Eukaryota; Metazoa; Arthropoda; Insecta; Lepidoptera; Nymphalidae
Exons: 2
Source: RefSeq, a predicted model, not a curated record